This 344-nucleotide unclassified non-coding RNA is filed under the name soil metagenome. RNAcentral describes it as "partial contains 5.8S ribosomal RNA, internal transcribed spacer 2, and large subunit ribosomal RNA". The stretch from base 1 to 120 matches the Rfam family "5.8S ribosomal RNA", at positions 35 to 154 of the family's 154-position model. The record is from RNAcentral.
GAUGAAGAACGUAGCGAAAUGCGAUAAGUAAUGUGAAUUGCAGAAUUCAGUGAGUCAUCGAAUCUUUGAACGCACAUUGCGCCCGCCAGUAUUCUGGCGGGCAUGCCUGUUCGAGCGUCAUUUCAACCCUCAAGCCCCCGGGCUUGGUGUUGGGGAUCGGCGUGCCCUCGCGGCGCGCCGUCCCCUAAAUCUAGUGGCGGUCUCGCUGUAGCUUCCUCUGCGUAGUAGCAACACUCGCACUGGAUCGCAGCGCGGCCACGCCGUUAAACCCCCCACUUCUGAAAGUUUGACCUCGGAUCAGGUAGGAAUACCCGCUGAACUUAAGCAUAUCAAUAAGCGGAGGA